GAGUAUUCAUGGUUAGAGUCUCAGUCUCUAUUACGGGCCCUAGUACACUUCAGGAACUCAAAAGCUUUGCUGAUAUAAUGCAAGGUGAUAAAAAAGUAGAAAGACUUGGGAUAAUCUUGAUUUCUGAAGGCAUCAAACGGGAAUUAGAGAAAGCAGCAGGAAAAACGAAGGCCUUUUUAAGUUCCAUGAGAACUACGGUUUGCAAGACUGGUCAAAACAGUACAAUGCAAGCGGCAAGAAUCAGGAAGUGCACAGAAACAAGAAGCUCGGUGCACACUGGGAUCAGGCAAGCAUCUGGGAGAAGACUGUAGCAAGACUGGAUCCUGAGAAAUAUACAGAGUUCAGAGGCUCCAUGGCUACACUUUGGGCAUGUAUGUCAUUACAGGAAUGAAAAAAAGAUGAUGGCCAAAUGCUGUAUUAAAAUCCCAUUAGAAAUGCCGGGAGAAAUUUAUGGCCCCAAUCUCUUUUAUCUGACAGCAGUUCCCAUGUGAUCCAUCAGGCUCUGAACAUGAAUUUUAAUGGGCUCAGAACCACUUCUCUACCCUGAGGUCACAGGCUGUCAGAGUGAAUCUUCCACAAACUGAUUGGAACCUGAAGAAUUUGCUCUGUCAAGAGAGGAAAAAAGGCAUAAACCUUAGGUGGUAUGGAGAAUGAGGAAAGGGGAGGAGAAGGAGAAAUCCAAAAGAUAGGUGGAAAACCAUGGGAGCAAAUCAAGGCAGGAAAUCAGAGAAAUCAAAGCCAGAGAGCAUCUCAGGAAGAGCUGAUGGCUACCAGCACUGAAUACCACAGAGAUUAUUACAUCGCAAGACAAUGCAUCGCUCCAGCAAGGAUAACAAAGCGAAUGGGAAGGAAAGGGUUAUGAAGAGUUCAUGGAAGGCACCUUAGGCAGACUACUUUUAGGAAAGAGUGGAUGUGGAAGCUAAGUAUCUGGAAAUUGAUUUCCUUAGAACAGUUUGUGUUUGCAUGUCUUCUGAAAGGUUUUAUGUACUCCCAAGAGUAAGUAUACCUGUUUGAAGAAGCUGCUCAAUAUAGUUCUUAAAAUAGUCUACAAACAUGUUACCCCAGCAUAGUAAGAAAUAGGAGUACAGCCAGAAAUGAGAGUGGGAAUGAUUAGAGAGACCUCUUUGAGGCCUUGGUCGUGGGCAGGAGCACAGUGGGCCGGGCUCUUUCUAGAUGUGCUUUAAUCAUCAGGAAUUCUGAUACAAUUAUAUUUUGACUAUGAUAUAUAAGCUUCAUUUGAUUACUGUUGCCAAAUAUUUUUUGCUCUUCACGAAGUAAACCUCUUUUUAAAACUUUUUAACUGGCAAAUAAUAAUUGCAUCUAUUUAGGGAGUACAUUGUGAUGUUUUGAUACAUGAUUACAUUGUGGAAUGAUUUAAUCAAUCUACUUAAAUUUAGUGAAAAUAACUUAAGCUAUUAAUCUCAGCCUUGGUGGCUUCUCCUAAUUUAUGCUUACACAAGAGGCUAUCUUCAUUGUGAAAUGUCACAGACUCUCACAAGCAAGAGAAGAAAAUGUAGAGAAGCCCCUCAAAUAAAAUGCAUUAGGUUAAUUCAUACCGACAAAUGUGACACACUUAAAAUUGUUCCUAACAUCAGUUCAUGAUUUAUUUCAAAAGUUCUUAAUAUUCAAAAAUGCUCAAUAAUUUAAAGUAUUUCAAUGUAUAUAGCAAAUAAACCCUGCUAUUAAAACAAAAGAAUCAGGUUCAUUUCAGAAGAGUGAAAACUAGCAAGAUCUUACUGUAAAUCAACUGUUUGUUUUCAAUUAUUUGGCAUGAGAUCUUACAUAUUUUUAACCCAUGUUUUAAUUCUCGUAGAUACCCUGUUGCAAAAGUUCUGAAACAUUGUGAGAAAAAGUGUUUUUGUAGCACUUUGGCAAUGGGAGCCUCACUUCACUCUGUUAUGUAAUGUCCCAUCCAGUUUUUAGUUAAACCUGGAAACACCUUUGUCCUUAGGUGAAGCAGCAAGUCUUGCUUAAGCAAAGCUGGUGAAAUCAGAGCCUGGUCCAAGGCUCAGAAGCGUUUGCGGGGAAAAGCAAACACUUUUUGUGGGAGAAGGAAACAAAGGAGAAGAGAGGAGGAGGAAGAAAUUGAAAAAGAAGGGGAAGAGAAGAGGAAAAGAAAAAGAGACGUUGAGAGAAAGAAAAACAGAGAGCUGUGUGUGAUUGGAUGCCAUGACUCCUCAGUCUUAGUGCUAAUGCCGUUGUUACCUAACUCUAUUUAGGGAACUUUCCAGAACAAAGCGAAGCUUUGUGGGCCUGGCUUUCAGAACUUAUGCAACAAUUGUUUUGGGAGCAGACUGAAAAUUUUACAAGAGAACUGAGUUUUCAAGAGACUGACGGUGUGACCAAAAGAUCAAAGGUUUGGUGCAGUGGGACUAAGUUUCAGGCAGCCUUUCAAAUUGUGAAGACUUUCCUCCCUGUUAUGGCAGUUAAGACAUGUGAAAAUGGUAGUUCGAGACACUUAUAAGCAACUUUCUUCUUAGUUCACAAUGUUCCAUGAAUGUCAGUGCCCUCCAAACUCACGAGAACAAAGCAGGCAACCAGGAUGAUUACUCCCAAAUCAUUGAUAAAAGGAGAGAGAAGUACAGAGAUACACAGUGAUUUGUGUGGGUUGCCAAAAAGUUGCACGGUCAGUUUGACAACUGUUAUUGCCUUCAGGUUGACAAAUUGCAAAAGCAGCAUUGCUGUGUAUGGGUGGGGAGGGAGGAGGAAUUGCAUGAGUAAGAAUGAGAUGAGCAAUAGUUAGGUGGGGUGGAAAUGAAAUCUCAACAGUUAUUGGGGAUUCUGAUGUAUUUAUCAAACCAAAAGACGAUCUAAAAGCCAUACAAUCAGACUUAGAUUAGGGCAGUCUGUGAUAAGCAAAAGUUAAUAUAGUGUGUUGUUUUUGAAAAUAUGGCAUGAUAAUUAAUAGCAACUCUUUUUGUAUACUUGCUUGGUUAACAGGAGGAAACACAGAUAAAUUAAAUACUGGUUAGCAAUCUUUAAUAACCAGGAGAUGCUUAACAUUUAUUUAGAAAUCUGCAACAUUUUAUAAAUCAUUGUUUUGGCUUCUGGGACAAACUCAGAAUCUGGAACCCACGGAAACCCUUCAGUUACACAAAGGCUUUCCAGUUCAUUGCUACUGCACUGAAGAACAGUCUUCACAACUAUACCUGGAACUUACUAGGCCAAGAAGGCAAGGCGUUGGAAAGAGGCACUCUGAAUUCAAAGGCUGUUUGAAUGAACUGACUGCUUCAGCACUGUCUUGUAGAUAUAGUCCAUUCAAAUAAAAGACAAAUAUCUGACUGAAUUUUGUUAGCACGUUAAGACAUGUAUUAUAAAAAGGUUUAAGAAGAAAAUAAUGGCCACAAUUCUUCAGAAAACAUGUGAACUAAUGUGACAAAACACUGUGGUGUUGCAAACUCAAGUGCUGCUCUGGCCAAGUCACCUCGCUGAAAUCUCCACUUCCACUUGUGCAACCUACCAAGCCACUCUCUACACAGCUGCCAGAGUGAUUACAAAAACAACGCGGGAUUAUGCUACCCCUGCUUAUCUAAAAUUUGUCAAAAUGCCCGUUACACUUUGAAUAAAAUACAGAUUCCUCUCAGAUCUCAUUUCUUAUCAUGUCUUUCUCAAUCAUUAUGUUCCAGCCUCACUGACCUUCUUUCUGUUCCUGUAAAAUAUUCCUGCCUCAAGGGCGCAGGCCUACGACCUGCAGUUCUCUUUUUCCCACAUGUGACCAGGCUCUCUCUUAGCCAUCAGGUCUCAAAUAAGCUCUUUCCGUUCUGUCUAGGCAUCUUAUCAAAAUCAACCUGUGUAUUAUUAUUCAUUUAUCACAUAAUCUUGUUUUAUUUUCCUCAUAGCACUCUCACUUUCUGAAAUUAUCUUU
RNAcentral lists this long non-coding RNA (3865 nucleotides) under Homo sapiens (human). Its description in RNAcentral is "HSALNT0296462". Lineage: Eukaryota; Metazoa; Chordata; Mammalia; Primates; Hominidae. The record is from RNAcentral.